AGACCAGACUCCUACGGGAGGCAGCAGUGGGGGAUAUUGCACAAUGGGGGAAACCCUGAUGCAGCGACGCCGCGUGGGUGAAGAAGCGCCUCGGCGCGUAAAGCCCUGUCAGCAGGGAAGAAAAUGACGGUACCUGAAGAAGAAGCCCCGGCUAACUACGUGCCAGCAGCCGCGGUAAUACGUAGGGGGCAAGCGUUAUCCGGAUUUACUGGGUGUAAAGGGAGCGUAGACGGCGAAGAAAGUCUGAAGUGAAAGCCCGCGGCUUAACCGCGGAACUGCUUUGGAAACUUUUUUGCUGGAGUACCGGAGAGGUAAGCGGAAUUCCUAGUGUAGCGGUGAAAUGCGUAGAUAUUAGGAAGAACACCAGUGGCGAAGGCGGCUUUCUGGACUGAAACUGACGCUGAGGCACGAAAGCGUGGGGAGCGAACAGGAUUAGAUACCCGAGUA
RNAcentral lists this ribosomal RNA (447 nucleotides) under uncultured bacterium. Its description in RNAcentral is "bacterial SSU rRNA". It matches the Rfam family "Bacterial small subunit ribosomal RNA", at positions 328 to 792 of the family's 1533-position model. The record is from RNAcentral.